UAACCCAGUAGAUGAACAAACAGGGCAUUGCCCUAGUAACGGCGAGUGAGCGGCAACAGCUCAAAUUUGAAAUCUGGCUCUUUCAGAGUCCGAGUUGUAAUUUGCAGAGGGCGCUUUGGCUUUGGCAGCGGUCCAAGUUCCUUGGAACAGGACGUCACAGAGGGUGAGAAUCCCGUACGUGGUCGCUAGCUAUUGCCGUGUAAAGCCCCUUCGACGAGUCGAGUUGUUUGGGAAUGCAGCUCUAAAUGGGAGGUAAAUUUCUUCUAAAGCUAAAUAUUGGCCAGAGACCGAUAGCGCACAAGUAGAGUGAUCGAAAGAUGAAAAGCACUUUGGAAAGAGAGUCAAACAGCACGUGAAAUUGUUGAAAGGGAAGCGCUUGCAGCCAGACUUGCUUGCAGUUGCUCAUCCGGGCUUUUGCCCGGUGCACUCUUCUGUAGGCAGGCCAGCAUCAGUUUGGGCGGUGGGAUAAAGGUCUCUGUCACGUACCUCUCUUCGGGGAGGCCUUAUAGGGGAGACGACAUACCACCAGCCUAGACUGAGGUCCGCGCAUCUGCUAGGAUGCUGGCGUAAUGGCUGUAAGCGGCCCGUCUUGAAACACGGACCAAGGAGUCUAACAUCUAUGCGAGUGUUUGGGUGUCAAGCCCGAGCGCGUAAUGAAAGUGAACGGAGGUGGGAACCCGCAAGGGUGCACCAUCGACCGAUCCUGAAGUUUACGGAAGGAUUUGAGUAAGAGCAUGGCUGUUGGGACCCGAAAGAUGGUGAACUAUGCUUGAAUAGGGUGAAGCCAGAGGAAACUCUGGUGGAGGCUCGCAGCGGUUCUGACGUGCAAAUCGAUCGUCAAAUUUGGGGCAUAGCGGCGAAAGACUAAUCGAACUAUCUAGUAGCUGGUUCCUGCCGAAAGUUUCCCUCAGGAAA
Molecule: ribosomal RNA, 915 nt
Filed under: Bipolaris oryzae
Lineage: Eukaryota; Fungi; Ascomycota; Dothideomycetes; Pleosporales; Pleosporaceae
Description: LSU rRNA
Rfam family: Eukaryotic large subunit ribosomal RNA
Source: RNAcentral